Molecule: long non-coding RNA, 3174 nt
Organism: Oncorhynchus tshawytscha (Chinook salmon)
Lineage: Eukaryota; Metazoa; Chordata; Actinopteri; Salmoniformes; Salmonidae
Exons: 2
Source: RefSeq, a predicted model, not a curated record
UAUAGUUCUUUAUAUAAUAAUAGAGUGAAUACAAAAUAUAGCUCAUAUAUUUCAUUUCUAUAAAAAGAAAAUGUAAAGCCACUGGAAAAUCACUGUGUUUGUUUCUACAGAUCAUUAUAUAUAUAGUUAUAUAGUUGUAUAGUUAUACAGAUCACUAUAUAUAUAGUUAUAUAGUUGUAUAGUUAUACCAAAGAAGAUAUAUUGCAUAAACACACAUCUACCUCAUUAGUACAGACCAACCAAACAUCAACAUGACCACAAUCAGAAUUGGUACAGACCAACCAAACAUCAACAUGACCACAAUCAGAAUUGGUACAGACCAACCAAACAUCAACAUGACCACAAUCAGAAUUGGUACAGACCAACCAAACAUCGACAUGACCACAAUCAGAAUUGGUACAGACCAACCAAACAUCAACAUGACCACAAUCAGAAUUGGUACAGACCAACCAAACAUCAACAUGACCACAAUCAGAAUUGGUACAGACCAACCAAACAUCAACAUGACCACAAUCAGAAUUGGUACAGACCAACCAAACAUCAACAUGACCACAAUCAGAAUUGGUACAGACCAACCAAACAUCAACAUGACCACAAUCAGAAUUGGUACAGACCAACCAAACAUCAACAUGACCACAAUCAUAAUUGGUACAGACCAACCAAACAUCAACAUGACCACAAUCAGAAUUGCCAGUUUCCACAUUUAGCCUUUUUUUUGGUUCAUACACAGCAUUCGCUUAAGGCAAUACAAACCUAGGUGGACCCCAUUCAUUCGCUUAAGGCAAUACAAACUUAGGUGGACCCCAUUCAUUCGCUUAAGGCAAUACAAACCUAGGUGGACCCCAUUCAUUCGCUUAAGGCAAUACAAACCUAGGUGGACCCCAUUCAUUCGCUUAAGGCAAUACAAACCUAGGUGGACCCCAUUCAUUCGCUUAAGGCAAUACAAACCUAGGUGGACCCCAUUCAUUCGCUUAAGGCAAUACAAACUUAGGUGGACCCCAUUCAUUCGCUUAAGGCAAUACAAACCUAGGUGGACCCCAUUCAUUCGCUUAAGGCAAUACAAACCUAGGUGGACCCCAUUCAUUCGCUUAAGGCAAUACAAACCUAGGUGGACCCCAUUCAUUCGCUUAAGGCAAUACAAACCUAGGUGGACCCCAUUCAUUCGCUUAAGGCAAUACAAACCUAGGUGGACCCCAUUCAUUCGCUUAAGGCAAUACAAACCUAGGUGGACCCCAUUCAUUCGCUUAAGGCAAUACAAACCUAGGUGGACCCCAUUCAUUCGCUUAAGGCAAUACAAACCUAGGUGGACCCCAUUCAUUCGCUUAAGGCAAUACAAACCUAGGUGAACCCCAUUAAUUCGCUUAAGGCAAUACAAACCUAGGUGAACCCCAUUCAGGUUUGAAGAAAGCAACCUGUUUUCUUUGUUGUGUGGGGAUUGCCAGGACUCUAUUUCAUGUACACAAUAUAGCACAGCUUUAUCUGUUAUUGUGUUGAUAAGAGGGUAAAGGAUUUGUAGUAUAUAUUGUAACUUAAAGUUAAAUAAAGGUAAUGAUGUUCAACUGUAAUGUCACGAAGUAGGAAACGACCCUGCACUCCAGGUGCCAGUUCUGCUAUUGAAGGUGGUUGUAGUCUGUUAUUAAAUUCCAGUGUUUACUUGAACAAAAAGUUUUCUUUGGGAAAUCAGGCCAUGAUAUGGAUGUAAAAGGUCAGAUAUACAAGGCUAUAUUCCAAUGUCCAUAGUAGAAUACCACUUAGAAUGUCUGGAAGCAUAGAUCACGUUGCUUCAUUCUAAGCAACAUGCACAUUAAGGAGGAGGUACGAAAGAGCAAACAUUCUGUCAUAACUAUGUCACUUCCUGUGGAGUCAUUAAAGCAUGUGUAUCCAGUGCUCCUCUGAUGCACUCUGCUCUGCCUCUAUUAUAUUGAUGUUUUAAGAGGUCCUAAAGUUUUACAAGGGUCCCUUCUUGAUAUUAUAUGGAGAUCCGAUGCUCCAACAAAAGCAUUGUAGAAGGAACCCAGCUGCAAAGCUGUGUGGAUCGAUUGUGGAUUCAUGUCCAAGUUCUGUGUGGAUCGAUUGUGGAUUCAUGUCCAAGUUCUGUGUGGAUCGAUUGUGGAUUCAUGUCCAAGUUCUGUGUGGAUCGAUUGUGGAUUCAUGUCCAAGUUCUGUGUGGAUCGAUUGUGGAUUCAUGUCCAAGUUCUGUGUGGAUCGAUUGUGGAUUCAUGUCCAAGUUCUGUGAGGAUAGACUAUAGAUUCAUUGUCCAUGUUCUAACUUGAGCUAUGUGGGAGUAAAAUAUAAUGCAAACAUUCAGUUCAUUCAUGUCAAGAUUAGUGGCAACGUUUGAGUGGAUCUCACAUAGCUCAGGUCCGGACUGAGCUAUGUGUACAUGCUGUUGAUAUGGAAUCCAUAUUAAUGUAGGAGAAUGUAUAAUAUAUGUUCAUCCGUACUCAAUGUAGCAAAACCACACAACGAUUUACAUCAUCAACAACAACAAAAACGACUACCCCAUUAUUUUAAUGUAGUUGUGAAGAUGAUACUUCCUGAAGGACAGAUAUGUAGUGUAUUUAUGGAGGAAGUCAAAAGGGGCACAAAAAAGCAUUUUCAUUUUUUUUUCUCCUAUUAUAUUAGCCUUUUGAUAGAACAUUUAAAGAGAUAUAUUCUAUUUGUUAUCACAGCACUGGCACAGUCUAUCUUUCACGGCUGUUCCUUCCCCAUUCCCUUCCUGUACUGCUCAGCUAUGGAUGCGGGACAACUCUAAACAUUUAGCCAAUCAUUGUGUAGCUUUUUGCCGACUGAAUCAACAAGAACAUCUAGUACAAUCAGCAUAAUUCUCGUAACCAAAGAUAUUUUUUUUUAAACAGCAAGAAAGAGAUGCCAAACAUCACAGAGAACAAGCUGAGUGUAACAAAGCUAUAACAAGAGGAUUAAUACGUGUGGGAAAAGAUUCUCACUUAUUGUAGCUACUUAUAACUUAAAUAACAUGUGGUUUACUGGUAGAUUUAAGGUCUUAUAAGGGCUGUGUAUGAAGCUUUCAAUAUUUCUUUUAUUUUCUCUUUUGUCCAUUUUGGAUGAAUCCAGUGCAUUAUGGGAAUGCUGGAUUGUGGUGCUCAGGGGUUAGUUUGUUUUGCCAUUUGAUGUGUAGCAUAUUUAGAAAUAAAAUACUGCUUUUGACUUCA